Triticum aestivum (bread wheat) is the source of this 2893-nucleotide long non-coding RNA. RefSeq lists it as uncharacterized. NCBI's taxonomy places the organism in Eukaryota, Viridiplantae, Streptophyta, Magnoliopsida, Poales, Poaceae. The transcript is spliced from 4 exons. The record is from RefSeq and is a predicted model, not a curated record.
CCGUUCCUCUCCCGUUUCGAGACGGACGCGCCGCCGCCGACCUCCUCCUGCCCACCCCGCUCCCGCUCCAUAUCCAGCCCCAAGCCCCCAGCUCCACUUUCCUUCUAUAUCCGCCGCCACGCCACGCCACGCACGCCACCUCGGCGAAGCCGUGUCCGCAGCUCCACUUUCCUCCGGCUGCCGCAACCGCCUCUGCCCCGGCUAUAAAGGCGCGCGCCCUUUGGCCGUCCGCUCCUCCUCUCUUCCCAGGCCAUGCCUCUCGCCUCGAUUCGUCCUCGACUCCUGCCUCUCCUCCUCCCGCGUCUGGUUUCAUCUUUGCUCCUCCUCGCUCGUCUCGUCCGUUUAGACUAGAAAGAAUUGCUCGUCCUCGAUUCGUCUGUUUUGAAGCGCGUCUGAUUUGAUUGAUUUUGCUCGUCCUCGGUUCAUCCGUUUAGAUAGAAAUCGCGUCCGGUUUCAUUUUAUCUGUUUUGAAGCGCGUCUGAUUUGAUUGAUUUUUCUCGUCCUCGGUUCAUCCGUUUAGAUAGAAAUCGCGUCCGGUUUCAUUUUGCUCGUCCUCGCCGUCGCCCGUUUAGCAUCGGUUCCGAGUUGAUUUUACUCGUCCUCGCCGUCGCCAGUUUAGAGUCGCGUGUGAUUUGAUUCUGCUCGUCCUCCCCGUCGUCCGUUUAGAAUCCCUUCCGAGCUGUUUUUGCUCGUCCUCGCCGUCGUCAGUGUGGAGUUGCGUGUGAUUUGAUUCUGCUCGUCCUCCCCGUCGUCCGUUUAGAUCAGAAUUGCGUCUGUUUUGAUUUUUCUUGUCCUCGCCGUCGUCAAUUUAGAUAGAACGUCGUCUUGAUUUGAUUUUGUUCGUUCUCGUCCUAGUCCGUUUGGAAUCGCGUCUGAUUUGAUUCUGCUUGAUCCCCUGUGUUGUUGCUGGGUUCUUUACACUGAUGCUCUCGCGUGUUCUUCGUGCCGUCUCAUCGGGGGUAUCCGUGGAGGAAGCGAGCGGUCGGUCGGUCGGUUUGGGUCGUCUGGUUUGCGAACUAACAAGUCUGUUUGAGAAUUUCUGCGUGCGCUUUUGUUAUCUGAGAGACGCUCACGUUCCUGCGUUCCGUGUUCGCGUCGGGCCCUUGUUCGCGUCUGCUUUUGAAAUUGGAUUGCUGUUUAUCGCGCUCGUUCAGAUCGGUUCCUAUGUUCGGUCACCUCCGCUGUUCGUUACUUUCAUAUCUCAAACGCAUGCGCCCUUUGAUACUACUAGUACUUGAUGGAUGUUCAGAUCUCAAAUGCCGCGUUGUUCAGAUCGGUUAUUUUGAUUGAAAUUGGAUUGUUGGCCCUCUGUUGAUUCUUAUUCUACUUGAUGGAUGUUCAGGGUGUUACUAUGUUGUUUUCAAUUGCUUACUUCUUGUCAUGCUUUGCUCAUGUUCCCAUAUAUGGUGAUGCUCAUCAUACGAGUACUAGAUGAGGUGCUGCUAGUUAGUCCCCCUUAGACUUUGUUCUAGAUAAAAGAGCAUAACUCCAGAAUUUUGUCAUUACACACCUGGGCAUAUAAUUCUGUUGUGAGCAUAACUCCAGAAUUUAUUUCUGUGUGAAAGCUUGUUCAUCACAUGUUUUUUGUCAAUGCUGCUAACUUUAUAGCUUUCUGAGAUUACUUCAGUCUUGCAUGUAUUAGCUUUCUGUUUGUGCCCCUAUCUAAGUCUGUUUCUUGUGUGCAAGCACUCCAUUCUGUGUGUGCCACUGUGUGUGGCUUGAGGUGAAUAUGUGUGGCUUGACUCUGUGUGUGUGUGUGUGUGUGUGUGUGUGUGUGUGUGGCUUGAUGGUGAAUAUGUGUGGUUUGACUGUGUGUGUGUGUGUGGCUUGAUUGUGUGUGUGGCUUGAUGGUGAAUAUGUGUGGCUUGACUGUGUGUGUGUGUGUGUGUGUGUGUGUGGCUUGAUGGUGAAUUUGUGUGUGGCUUGACUGUGUGUGUGUGACUGUGAAUAUUGCAUUUGCUUGAUGGUGUGGCUUGUAUGCUUUGUUGAAUGACUGGUUGUAUAACUUGUGUUUUAUAUUGUUGUGGCACGAUUGGUUGCUGUUUGUUGAAUGCGAACUCGUAUCUUGACGAAUAAUCAUCUAUGCUAACUUGGUAUUGGUAGUUCCUGAUCACCUAUUACUUGUUUAGUGUAGACUGACUAUUCUUUUUUCUGAACUUUUUUGUGAUUAUGUCUUCACAUUGCACUGCUCGAUCCAUAUCGACAUGCCCACGCUGUCUGAUGAGGAUAAAGAUGUUAUGAGAAAAAUAGGGUGCCCCAACCAAGAUUGACUUCCUCUCUCUUUCUUAUACAAGGCAUGCAGAAGAUGUGUGGCAAGCAUGGGAGUUCCUCUCAAAGUUAGGUGAUCUUAGCCAAACUCUGAUUUUUGCCAAAAUUGAGAAUGUGGAGGGCUUGAACCAUUUUGAUGAGAUCCUGGAAGAAGCAGAUGGUAUAAUUCUGUCAAAGAGGAAACCUUGGAAUUGAUCUUCUACCUGAAAAGGUUGGUUAUCUCAACCUUCGCAAUGCAUUAUCUCUUAACAUGUCGUCCUAGUAUUGAAAAAAUUAGAGAGAGUCACCCCAAUGCAUUGUUUCUUAAGGGUUGUAUCUAAAUGAUGUUUCAUCGUGGAGAAAAUUAAAGAGUAGGAAAACAGGGAGUGCAAGAAAACGAGCUAAGAGCCGUAUCUAUAUAAACAUACAGCUCCACUCUCGUUCUUUCUUAAUUAUUUACAGUGCCACAUCAGCAUUUUGACUAUGAUAACGUGCUAAGAGAAGCAUUGUGAGUGCCCUUGGCAGUUGUGAAGGCAUUUUGCUUGAUUAACAUGUAUUUUCCCCAUUUGCAUGAAGCUUAGUGAUGAUUUUAUGUGCUUUACUUAGAUUUGCUCUUUUUUAAAACAAAAAUCAAGGGUCUGUAUUG